RNAcentral lists this ribosomal RNA (361 nucleotides) under uncultured Escherichia sp. RNAcentral describes it as "bacterial SSU rRNA". It matches the Rfam family "Bacterial small subunit ribosomal RNA", at positions 8 to 365 of the family's 1533-position model. RNAcentral also lists the same sequence under 1 other name. Lineage: Bacteria; Pseudomonadati; Pseudomonadota; Gammaproteobacteria; Enterobacterales; Enterobacteriaceae. The record is from RNAcentral.
AGAGUUUGAUCCUGGCUCAGAUUGAACGCUGGCGGCAGGCCUAACACAUGCAAGUCGAACGGUAACAGGAAGCAGCUUGCUGCUUCGCUGACGAGUGGCGGACGGGUGAGUAAUGUCUGGGAAACUGCCUGAUGGAGGGGGAUAACUACUGGAAACGGUAGCUAAUACCGCAUAACGUCGCAAGACCAAAGAGGGGGACCUUCGGGCCUCUUGCCAUCGGAUGUGCCCAGAUGGGAUUAGCUAGUAGGUGGGGUAACGGCUCACCUAGGCGACGAUCCCUAGCUGGUCUGAGAGGAUGACCAGCCACACUGGAACUGAGACACGGUCCAGACUCCUACGGGAGGCAGCAGUGGGGAAUAUU